RNAcentral lists this ribosomal RNA (406 nucleotides) under uncultured bacterium. RNAcentral's name for it is "partial 16S ribosomal RNA". It matches the Rfam family "Bacterial small subunit ribosomal RNA", at positions 29 to 526 of the family's 1533-position model. The record is from RNAcentral.
AUUGAACGCUGGCGGCAGGCCUAACACAUGCAAGUCGAACGAGUGGCGGACGGGUGAGUAAUGUCUGGGAAACUACCUGAUGGAGGGGGAUAACUACUGGAAACGGUAGCUAAUACCGCAUACCAUCGGAUGUGCCCAGAUGGGAUUAGCUAGUAGGUGGGGUAAAGGCUCACCUAGGCGACGAUCCCUAGCUGGUCUGAGAGGAUGACCGGCCAGCCUGGAACUGAGAAACGGGCCAGACUCUGACGGUAGGCAGCAGGGGGGAAUAUUGCGGAAGGGGCGCAAGGCUGAUGCAGCCAUGCCGCGGGUAUGAAGAAGGCGUUCGGGUUGUAAAGUACUUUAAGCGGGGAGGCGGUACCCGCAGAAGAAGCACCGGCUAACUCCGUGCCAGCAGCCGCGGUAAUUC